GAGUAGUAAAGCUCUUUUAGAAUUUGUCUAGCACAUUUUCUAACUGGAAGAUAUGCUA
RNAcentral lists this small nuclear RNA (58 nucleotides) under Microcebus murinus (gray mouse lemur). RNAcentral's name for it is "U7 small nuclear RNA (ENSMICG00000025030.3)". It matches the Rfam family "U7 small nuclear RNA". From Rfam's summary of the family: Animal histone pre-mRNAs are spliced by a different mechanism than nuclear pre-mRNAs and self-splicing introns. This processing involves the U7 snRNP, which contains only one RNA species: U7. The record is from Rfam by way of RNAcentral. Lineage: Eukaryota; Metazoa; Chordata; Mammalia; Primates; Cheirogaleidae.